This is a non-coding RNA of Paramormyrops kingsleyae, 2360 nucleotides long. Lineage: Eukaryota; Metazoa; Chordata; Actinopteri; Osteoglossiformes; Mormyridae. The record is from RefSeq and is a predicted model, not a curated record.
CAUAUGGCGGCAGCUUGGAGAUCCGCCCGUGGCCCCCCAGAGGACGCUGGGAUGAAGGACCCGGUGUCGGUAGCCUCCGUGGCCCCCUCCUGAGAGGCAUAGUGCCGGACUGGGCCGGGCCAAGGCUGGGGGGGGGUAUAGCUGUGCGCUUCUUUGGUCCAGUCCUUCUCGGAACCUCUGGUUUACGGCGCUGCUUACGAACCGGAAUAAAUGGGCCAGGCUUGUGAAUGACUGGCGUGAUAAAAAUAGCCUGUUAAAAGGCUCUGCAGAUGAUUCAUUCACUUUUAUUGGCUUUCUUUUUUUUCCAGGCCCUAAUUUGAAGACAUUAUGCAAAAUAGCCGUUAUUCAGUACAGCCUCGAUCAGUCGGCUCUGCCACAUGACAUCCGGUGGGAGCUGACGGCCAUGACCACCAACAGCAACAUCAGCAGACCCAUCUUCUCGUCCCACGGCUGAGCGGCCCGACCCGACCCGCACCUCAGGUUCUGGCAGGACGAGGCCCGUCUGCGUGCCGCAUGGAGCUUGUCCCUUUUUUAUUUUUAUUCUUAGAUUUUUUUUUGUUCACUUCACAUCCGCUGUUUCUAGUUUGCGGGUCUUUGGGAUCAGUAGGGUGUUGCAGAACCCUUCAGUAUUUCCUGUCCCCCUUCAGAGAACACCGGGCUUGGGAUGUAGGUGGACGUGCUUCAUGUCGUUCUGUUCCUCAUUCUCACACACGCCUGCAGAUGUCUUUGGAUGAAGUAGCCAGUGGAUGUUUUAUUUAAUUUUUUUUUUAAAAGCAGCAAGGUGUGUUUUGAAUGGCCAGGUAUGAGUUCAUCAGGCAGCGCACAGAAAACACCACCCUCUUCCUGUCCAGUAGCUGUACACGUUCCACCGCACCGUGAUUUUCCAUUUCUGGAGGCUGCUGCCCUCAGCGAGACGUUCUUCCAAACUGUGUUACCCUUGUGCGCCGUCUGCAGCACCGGGAUACAGACGCUACUCCGUCCUCCGCAGAGGGGGAGUGCCGAACGUGAGACUGGUACCGUCCAGCUGUUGCUUCUGGAGCCUGAGCCUUUGUCUCCGAACCUGUUACCUCUACCAGGACGCGGUAGCCACCGGUGAGCAGGAGGGGACCCCCCCCCCCCCCCCUUUGAAUUGGACGUGGAGACCUUGCACCGCGUCUUCCUGCAAGACAGCAGGUGCCACAGGAUCCUGGCUCCGCCCCCCUUACCUCCCGAAGCCGAAGACCCUCAUAUGGAGGCAGAGUCAUGCGAGCGCGCCAUGACAACCUGCCGCCAUGACAACCUGCCGCCAUGACAACCUGCCGCCAUGACAACCUGCCGCCAUGUCAACCUGCCGCCGCUGCCUUUGAAGGCGCCGGGUGGCCAUGUCUAUCACCCGCCUCGUUUUCCUGCUUCAUUGCGGCAAAUCGUGUUUUGGUUCUGCGGUUACCGUGGCGACCUUCUCCUGUGCUGGUGUUCUUUCUUGUCUGCUUAUUAUUUAAUUUUCUUUUUCCCCGCGACCCAUGGUCUGGCAUGUAUUGACUCAAACCAUGGUCCGCACUUCACAUGUAAAUCCAUUUAUUUUGCCUUUGUAUCCCCCCCCCUCCCACUUAGACAGACUGUAUUCUCUGUCCAAACAAAAGUGAUUUGCGAUUAAUCUCCUGCUCUGAUUUCGAUCUUGGAAACACAUUUCAGCCAAACACAUGAGGCAGGUCCAGCAUCAGGAGGAUGAGGACUGGCUGCACACCACUGAGUCCUCGGGUGAGCAUGCCAUGAACCCGGAGACCCACGUUUCUCAACGAUUUGCUCCCUAGUAGUGGCGCCCCCUACAGACCAUAGUGUCCCACCGCGAUGGACCGGCCGCCCGGGCCAGGUGGAUUGGGCAGCAGGAACAUCGAGUAACCCUUCCUCCUAAGAAUGAGCGGAGCGUUUGGACCCCGCUCAAGUCGUCCAGGCGGUUGGCAUGCUGUUUUUUUCUUUUCUUUUUUUUUUUAAUUUAAUCCCCCUCUCCUCCCCAUUUUAAUCCUUAUCCCCUGAAAUUUGUAGUGUGUGUUUUGUACCUCUGUGAGUAUGUUAACCAACUGGUGCUCGGCAACUUCGAAACAUUUUUGUUCAGGAAAAUGUGUGGGGUGAAUUUGUUAAAGAUUUAUUGUCAUAUGUGAAUUUAGUAAUGACUCUUUAACCACAGACAGGCAUUAACAGUACUUGGGCAGGAAGUGGGCGGUAUUCUGUAGUCCCACAGGGUCUCGGUGUGCGGUCACAGGCUUUUUGCUCUACAUUUAUAUAAUAAAAAUGAGAUAUGCCCCACCAAGAUUGAAUAAAACUUUUAUUGUGCAAUAUGCUCUUGAAAUUGUGUCAAUAAAAUGGAUGCGGUUUUAUUUGCA